GACGAACGCUGGCGGCGUGCCUAAUACAUGCAAGUAGAACGCUGAAGCGAGGAGCUUGCUCUUCUUGGAUGAGUUGCGAACGGGUGAGUAACGCGUAGGUAACCUGCCUGGUAGCGGGGGAUAACUAUUGGAAACGAUAGCUAAUACCGCAUGAAAUUGCUUAUCGCAUGAUAAUUGAUUGAAAGAUGCAAUUGCAUCACUACCAGAUGGACCUGCGUUGUAUUAGCUAGUUGGUGAGGUAACGGCUCACCAAGGCGACGAUACAUAGCCGACCUGAGAGGGUGAUCGGCCACACUGGGACUGAGACACGGCCCAGACUCCUACGGGAGGCAGCAGUAGGGAAUCUUCGGCAAUGGGGGGAACCCUGACCGAGCAACGCCGCGUGAGUGAAGAAGGUUUUCGGAUCGUAAAGCUCUGUUGUAAGAGAAGAACGGGUGUGAGAGUGGAAAGUUCACACUGUGACGGUAUCUUACCAGAAAGGGACGGCUAACUACGUG
Molecule: ribosomal RNA, 497 nt
Filed under: uncultured bacterium
Lineage: Bacteria
Description: partial 16S ribosomal RNA
Rfam family: Bacterial small subunit ribosomal RNA
Source: RNAcentral